UAGUUGGUCUGUCCUCUGCACGUUCUUGAACACACAAGAGGCCAAUUUGUAUGCAUCUUAAGA
Molecule: small RNA, 63 nt
Filed under: Arabidopsis thaliana (thale cress)
Lineage: Eukaryota; Viridiplantae; Streptophyta; Magnoliopsida; Brassicales; Brassicaceae
Description: ATSL225700
Source: RNAcentral